This 3374-nucleotide ribosomal RNA is filed under the name Triticum aestivum (bread wheat). Its description in RNAcentral is "partial small subunit ribosomal RNA". Lineage: Eukaryota; Viridiplantae; Streptophyta; Magnoliopsida; Poales; Poaceae. The record is from RNAcentral.
AAGCGAACCCCUCUCCCCCCUCUCGCCCCCUCUCCCUCUCCCUAUCCAUCCCAUCCUCUCCCCCGACCCCGCGCACCCGCCAGAGAAGCCGCCUCCAUGGCCUCCCUCGCCGCCGCCUCCGCCUCCACGGCGCUCCUCUUCCCCUCCACCUCCUCCUCCAAGCCCCGCCUCCCGCUCUCCACAUCCCUUGGCUUCUCCGCGCCCGCGCGGUCACGCCGCGCCACUGCGGUGGCGGGGAGCUCCGGCAGGCGCCCGGGGCUGCUCGUCGUGCGCGCCGCCAGGGGCAAGUUCGAGCGGAACAAGCCCCACGUCAACAUCGGCACCAUCGGCCACGUCGACCACGGCAAGACCACCCUCACCGCCGCGCUCACCAUGGUGCUCGCCUCCGUCGGGGGCAGCGCGCCCAAGAAGUACGACGAGAUCGACGCCGCCCCUGAGGAGCGCGCCCGUGGUAUCACCAUCAACACCGCCACCGUCGAGUACGAGACGGAGACGCGCCACUACGCGCACGUCGACUGCCCCGGUCACGCCGACUACGUCAAGAACAUGAUUACCGGGGCCGCCCAGAUGGACGGCGCCAUCCUCGUCGUCUCCGGCGCCGACGGCCCCAUGCCGCAGACCAAGGAGCACAUCCUGCUCGCCAAGCAGGUCGGUGUCCCCAGCAUUGUUGUUUUCCUCAACAAGAAGGACCAGGUCGACGACGAGGAGCUGCUCGAGCUCGUCGAUCUCGAGGUCCGCGAGCUGCUCACGGCCUAUGAAUACGAUGGUGACAAUGUGCCAAUCGUCUCCGGCUCUGCACUCAGAGCGCUCGAGGCCCUCAUGGCCACCCCUGGCCUCAAGCGUGGGGAUAACGAGUGGGUGGAUGGCAUCUUCUCCUUGAUUGAUUCCGUGGAUACCCACAUCCCUGUCCCGCAGAGGCAGACCGACCUCCCCUUCUUGCUCGCUGUUGAGGAUGUUUUCUCCAUCACUGGUCGUGGUACAGUUGCCACUGGCCGUAUCGAGCGUGGCACCGUCAAGGUUGGGGACCCAGUCGACCUCGUCGGCAUCAGGGAGACCCGCAAUGCCACGGUCACUGGUGUUGAGAUGUUCCAGAAGACCAUGGAUGAUGCCAUUGCUGGGGACAAUGUUGGGCUUCUGCUCCGUGGUAUGCAGAAGGAAGACAUUGAGAGAGGCAUGGUGUUGGCAAAGCCCGGUUCCAUCACGCCACACACCAAGUUUGAGGCUGUUGUGUAUGUGCUCAAGAAGGAGGAGGGUGGCCGGCACUCCCCAUUUUUCCCUGGUUACCGUCCGCAAUUCUACAUGCGGACUACUGAUGUCACGGGGAAUGUGACAAACAUUAUGAACGACAAGGAUGAGGAGGCGAAGAUGUGCAUGCCAGGUGACCGUAUCAAGAUGGUUGUGGAGCUCAUCCAGCCUGUGGCUUGUGAGCAGGGAAUGAGGUUUGCCAUCCGUGAAGGUGGCAAGACCGUCGGUGCCGGUGUCAUCAAUAAUAUCAUUCAGUAAUGUGGAUGGAGGAUAUCCACCGUGAGAAUUUUCCUCAUUUACUCUUUUGCGAAAUGCUAUGUAGUUGUUAUUAUGCGUUUAGGGAAGGCUCUUGUGAAAUUGUAGUAUGGCACAUUUUUCUUCAAGUGAAAUUGCAUACUUUGUAGUAUUCACGACAAAGAUACAUCUUGAUCUGCCAUCUGUCGUUAUGUGCUUGACUGUUGGCCAUUUUGUUUUCCUCUUGUUGAUAUGCUUGAAGACGAUUCAUUGUUCUUGGGAGCUUGAUGCUGCAGGGACUGGUUGAGUUGGAGGUAUACGGUUAUGGCUUAUUUAUUUACUGCUUCAUAUAUAUAUAUAUAUGUAUGCUUGCUUGAUAGAUUUAUCUUGAAGCUAUUUGUUGGUACUCCCUCCGGUCCUAAAUAUAAGUCUUUUGGAGAUUUCAGUAUGGACUACAUACGGAUGCAUAUAGACAUAUUUUAGAGUGUAGAUUCACUCAUUUUGCUCUGUAUGUAGUCCGCAUCGGAAUCUCUAAAAAGACUUAUAUUUAGGAACAGAGGGAGUAGUUCAUAUUGAUUUUCUGCUGGUUAGCAGCUUAACCUGCAGCAAUCAUGUGUGUGCUCAUAUUUUUCAAUGCAAAAACAGUUUCAUGUGUUGGUCAUUGUGUUAUAGCAAGGCGUGCUCAUCGCAGUUCAUAUCGAUUUUCUGAGGGCAGGCCUGGCGCAGUGGUGAAGUCCUCCCCACUUGUGCCAAGAGGUCCUGGGUUCGAACCAGCCUCUCUGCAUUGCACUUUGCAGGGGUAAGACUAGGUUCCUAUAAUCCCUCCCCAGACCCCACCUUGUGUGGGAGCUUCUAUGCACUGGGUCUGUCCUUUAGCAACUUAACUUGCUGCAAUCAUCAUGCGUCUGCUCAUCUGGGUCAAUGCAGAAAGCAGUUACGUGUAAGGUUAUGUUACAAGGCUUGCUGAAUUUUUGGUCAGUGCGCUAUAGCAAUUCGUACCAUUUCAAGGUGGUCAUCUCAACCUAUGCACUUCCAAUCAUAACAAUCUGUUGCGUGCAUGUUUCCCAGCAGAUGUGUUGCUUCCGGAUGUUGUGUUUCCCAGCAGAUGUGUUGCUUCCGGAUGUUGUUUCGUUUUGUUACGCGUGUUCCAAAAUGCAGACUCAAUCUUUUGUACCUGUCUUGUGGUGCAGUUCCAGUUUCUAAUAAUGCCUCUUGUGACAUCCGCAUGGUUGAUUUGAACUCCAUUAGCAUCACCCUGUGUUUUAUAGUGGAGGUACAUGCUGUGUAGUUGUGACUGACGCUGGUCUAGCACUAUAGAGAAGACCAACCACAUGUUCAUGAAGCAGGGAGUAACAGCUGGGAACAAGUCGCUCAAGAAUUGUAAGGUGUUCAUCUCUUUUUAGCAGUGUGAGUAUUGUCAGCAAAAUGGACAUGUACCUGGAGUCGCUUCUCAUCUUUGCUGUUUUAAGGGAAAGCCAGCCCUGGAUGUUUUGUCCCCAAUUAAACAAAUGUUUUGAUGUGCAUAAAUGUGUAGUGUUUUCCUGAGAAGUUCAGUGCUCUUUAGUCUUCGUCACUGUGCUGCUUAGCAGAUUGCCGUGGCGGAGCACUGCUGCUUGGCAUGCCGUCUUCCCUUAUUUUGCUGACGCUCUGUCUGAAAGUCACCUGCUCACCAGCAGAAAGAAAGAAGCCGACUUUGAGGUUCACCAAAGCAAUCCUCCAUGUUCGUAUCCAGCUCCCAUUUUGAUGUUCACAGAAAUAGCAAAUUGAUGAGAGGUUCACUCCAGAGUCUGCAACUAAUGCUCUAUUUCCUGUUUAGUUGCUGGGGGCAGCUGUAGGUUUUAUCAUGUAAUCUGCUACUCUCUCUGUUCACUUUUAUAAGACCUUGAAGAUAUUUC